Molecule: RNA transcript, 9011 nt
Organism: Lepus europaeus (European hare)
Lineage: Eukaryota; Metazoa; Chordata; Mammalia; Lagomorpha; Leporidae
Gene name: zinc finger protein 260-like
Exons: 6
Source: RefSeq, a predicted model, not a curated record
UCAGCUCUACAUGGCCGCGCUGCUGCUUCUCCGGCGUUCGCUGCGUCUCGUGCCGGCAGUCACCAACCGGGCAGUUUGAGCGCACAAAGCCCCAGCCUGCCACCCGCUGCGUCUGUGCUUCAGCUUCUGCCGCCUGUGGGUCCCACGUGCCGGGGACUUUCCCUGCCCCCACACGCCGCUUCACUCCACGUGUGACCUGCUCCGGGGCUUUGCACGGUGAUGAUAACAUUUGAAGACCUCGCUGUGUACUUUACCUGGGAAGAAUGGCAGAAUAUGAACAAAGCUCAGAAAAUCCUGUACAAGGAUGUGAUGCUAGAAACUUACAGCAGUCUGUUCUCCUUGGGAAAAUGCAUUAGCAAACCUGACUUGAUCUUCAAGUUGGAGCAAGGUGCAGAGCCAUGGAUGAUGGAAGAAUGUCUAAAUCAGAGCCUUCCAGUUUCCAUGAAAAGGGGUGACCUGCCUAGGAUCAACCAGGAAAGUCAGGACAAAAAUCUGAAUCAGAAUGUAAUGAAAAAUAAUAAGACAUCAACUCCCAAGAGAGUUGAAUUAAGAAAAACACUUAAUUUAAGUUCAAGCCAUAUUCCAAAACUGAUUAUUGAAAAGAGAAAUAGUGAGCAUGGAAAAGCUACGUUCCGUAAAUCAUACCUCAUCAUGCAUCAGAAAAUUCACACAGAGGUUAAACCUCAUAAAUGUGAUGACUGUGGAAAAGCCUUUUAUAGUAAGUCACAAGUCAUCAGUCAUCAGAGAAUCCACACAGGGGAGAAACCUUAUGAAUGUAAUGACUGUGGAAAAGCCUUUAGCCGGAAGACAAACCUCAUAAUGCAUCAGAGAAUUCACACAGGGGAGAAACCGUAUGAAUGUAAUGACUGUGGAAAAGCCUUUGCUAGUAAGUCACAACUCUUCAGACAUCAGAGAAUUCACACAGGGGAGAAACCUUAUGAAUGUAAUGAGUGUGGAAAAGCCUUUGUCCAGAAGUCACAAGUCAUCAAUCAUCAGAGAAUUCACACAGGGGAGAAACCUUAUGAAUGUAAUGACUGUGGAAAAGCCUUUGUCCAGAAGUCACAAGUCAUCAAUCAUCAGAGAAUCCACACAGGUGAGAAACCUUAUGAAUGUAAUGACUGUGGAAAAGCCUUUGCUAGUAAGUCACAACUCUUCAGACAUCAGAGAAUUCACACAGGGGAGAAACCGUAUGAAUGUAAUGAGUGUGGAAAAGCCUUUGUCCAGAAGUCACAAGUCAUCAGACAUCAGAGAAUCCACACAGGGGAGAAACCUUAUGAAUGUAAUGAGUGUGGAAAAGCCUUUGUCCAGAAGUCACAAGUCAUCAGUCAUCAGAGAAUCCACACAGGGGAGAAACCUUAUGAAUGUAAUGACUGUGGAAAAGCCUUUGCUAAUAAGUCACAACUCUUCAUACAUCAGAGAAUUCACACAAGGGAGAAACCGUAUGAAUGCAAGGACUGUGGAAAAGCCUUUGUCCGGAAGUCACAAGUCAUCAAUCAUCAGAGAAUCCACACAGGGGAGAAACCUUAUGAAUGUAAUGACUGUGGAAAAGCCUUUGCUAGUAAGACACAACUCUUCAGACAUCAGAGAAUUCACACAGGGGAGAAACCGUAUGAAUGUAAUGAGUGUGGAAAAGCCUUUGUCCAGAAGUCACAAGUCAUCAGACAUCAGAGAAUCCACACAGGGGAGAAACCUUAUGAAUGUAAUGAGUGUGGAAAAGCCUUUGUCCAGAAGUCACAAGUCAUCAGACAUCAGAGAAUUCACACAGAGGAGAAAUCGUAUGAAUGUAAUGAGUGUGGAAAAGCCUUUGCUAGUAAGUCACAAGUUAUCAGUCAUCAGAGAAUUCACACAGGUGAGAAACCGUAUGAAUGCAAUGACUGUGGAAAAGCCUUUGUCCAGAAGUCACGCGUCAUCAGACAUCAGAGAAUCCACACAGGGGAGAAACCUUAUGAAUGUAAUGACUGUGGAAAAGCCUUUGCUAAUAAGUCACACCUCAUCAGGCAUCAGAGAAUCCACACAGGGGAGAAACCGUAUGAAUGUAAUGACUGUGGAAAAGCAUAUGGCCAUAAAUCAGACCUCAGAACACAUCAGAGAAUUCACACAGAGGAGAAUCCUUAUGAAUGUCAUGACUGUGGAAAAGGCUUUGCAGCUAAGUCGGACCUCAUCAAACAUCAGAGAAUUCACACAGGUCUACACAGCUUUGUUCUGGUCCCUGAGUUGUGAGCACAGAAAUGACACAUUUUACCUUGGCAUCGAAGAAUAGGAGAGCAGGUAUGUGACCCUCCACCUCUGUCUUCCCCUGCUGUGCUAUCCAGGAGACACACUGAGAUGACGAAUUCACUGGGGCCAACUGCUGCCCUGAGGGCCAGCCAGCUUGCAUCAAAAUCUGCAGGAAGACCACUAUUGGACCAACUCUUUCAAGCAGCUCAACUCUGAUGCCCAGAGGAAUAACUGAACAGCUUCAAGUAGGAUGUUUUGCUGCUCCAGGAAGUUCCUGUGUUUCCUUGAGCUCUUCUCUGGAGGUUUCCAGGUGUGGUGCCACAUGGUGAAGCUUCUCAUCAUAGGGUCAAGGGGAUCAACUUACACAGGGAUUCUGGCCCUACAUCAUUUUGACAGAUAUAUGUGUAAUUUGGUACCUAUUUUCAAGGGAAGGAAGAAAGAGGGAAAAAAAGUAAAUGACAUUCUCUAGUACAGCAUUGUCCAAGAGAAUUAUAAUUCAAGCCACAUAUGUCAUUUUCAAUUUUCCACUCACUAAGGAAGGAAAAUGAAAGGGAUGCGAUGAAUAGUAACAAUAUACUUUAUUUAGCUCAGUGUUCCAACUGUAACCAUUUGCAUUGUAAUCAAUAUAAAUUUGUUAAUUUCCAGUGAAUUCUUUAAAGUUAGAUGUGCGUUUAAUCUUAAAGUGAAACUCUAUUUGGAACAGCCAAUUUUAAGAUAGCACUAAAACCAUUUGUCUAUUGAACAGUGCAGCAUUGAAGGUAACAAACUUACUCAGUGUUUGUUUAGCUUUAUUAGAAUUGUGAUAGCCACAUUGCAAUAUUGUCAUUUAUUAGAAUACUACUUUGUGUUAACAAAUGGGUAUACUCCCAGAAUUAGAAAGUGUCAGAGCUAAGAUCCUAACCAAUUCUCUGCCCUCCCUUGGGCUACUCCAGUACCGUGGGAUUUCUCUGUAAUUCAAGCCAGAAGGGUGACACCCUCAAAUAAAAUCAUGACACUGGUGAUGGAGAGAAGGCUGUAGUUAAUGAAUAUUAAAGAACUCUACUUGCGAAUACUCUUCUUGAUGAUUGAUUGUGUCUGUGUGAGGGAGGAAAAAAAGCAGUUUCUGUAGGGUGGCCUCCCACUUCUGACUCAAGCAACGGAGUUGUCCCUAGUGGGAAGGAGAGAGACACUGUCACAGCAUUUGUUCAACAGAAAUUGAAAUUUAGCAAAUUUUGAUCAUUGGAAUUACUAGUACAGUAUGACGAACUAAACCCGAUUUUUGUUUUAACUGUGACUCCUUUAUAUGUGGCACAAAUGCCAGGUGACAACUAUUGGAUGAGCACUACUUAUGUAAAAAAGGCAUCUAUGUAACAGAAUGAUGCCUGGAUGCACGGAUUGGUGUGUUUGUAAUACUGUUAUAGAAAGAACACCCAUAGCUAAUUCAACAGCCUUAAAUUUACAGUGCAUAAUAUUUGCAAGCUUUAAUGGAUUUCUUUAUAUCUCUUCUAUAGAUACUCAUUCAGCUCUGAGCCACCACACACACAAUAGGGAAGAGCUUUGAGGAACUCUGUAAUUAUGAGCUAAUCUUUGCUUCUGAAAGAAUGCCAAGUGAUAGCACUUGGGCCUGAGCCAUCUACCUGGGCAGAAUUCAUCCAAUUAUGCUAUGCCACAUACUUUGGAAGAUCUGAUCUUAAAAAUCCAAAGGCUACAAGAGGUGACUAAGAAGAGAACUUGUAGGAAUUCAAGCAUCUCUUAAGCUAUUGACAGGUGCUAUUGCCUUACGAAUGAUAACUAUGAAGGGAAAAAUGAAAACAAAUUAUGCUGGAAAGUCAUAAAUAUGGUAUUUUAAUUUGUUUACAUUUACCAUUUCUGAAGCAUAUUCUUAAAAGUUAUUUGUGAUCAACAGCAUUAUGCUGUUUGAUUAUUGAUCAAUUUAUUCAAUUUGACCUUGGGUAUAUAUCUUCACAGAAAGGUUCGUCUCACUAUAACCAGCACACUUAAUCUGUUUAAUAAAUUUUGUUGCCAAAAUGCUGCUACAGAGCAGUACAGAUGCCCUAAAUGACAGGAAAGGACUGUCCAGUUUCUCCUCACCCCUGAGUCCAUGUUUGACAUCAGCUGCGAGUUUAUUAUUUUUUAUCUUGAAUGAUUUCAGGAUAAUUUUCACUUUUUCAGUCCCUGCUGCUGUCCUGUGCUCUGGUCAUUUAUACUCACAGCAGUCAGUGGUUGGAAAUGUGGAAUGGGACCAAAGCAUGGGGUGACCACAGGACAGGGAUCAUAUAAAAUGAGUGUAUUGUGGGAGGAUGGGUCUUCUGUUGUCUCUCUCCCUGGUGGAAGAGUCUCCUUUAGUAUUUGUAUGUUAUGUGGUUCCCAGGGAGCUUUGUUUGGUUCAGACAAGUCACCCUGUGGGUGAAAGUGACUCAGACCAUAGGAGCACUUGUAUUUUCUGGGCCCCUGGACUGGAGCUGGAAUUCCCUCUGAGCUCUGUUUAGCACUGCGUUCUACCAGAAUUCCCUUGCUUGUUCCCUGAAGUUCUGUAGGGUGAAGCUGGCACAAAACAUUUGAAAAAUUUAACUCAGCCACUGACAGUUGCUGAAAACCUUCCAAUACAUGUAUAUGCUCUUAUCUCAGCUUUGCAAAAGCCAUGCCCUAAAAAUAAAUACAAUUUAGAAAAAAAAAAUACAUUGAACUAGAGUGGGUUUCAGGUAACCAAGCUGUGAGACAAAAAGGCAGGGAUCAUUCAGACCUUUAGGCUUUAGGUGGUGUGUGCUUGUCCAGGCAUCAGCAAGGCCUUUACCCAGGGUUCCCACUAGACAUGAGUAAUUAUUUAAAAUUUUAAUCAAAAUAUGUAUACUCUGUGGUUAAAUGCAGGACCAUUUCUGAUCACUUAAUUUUUUUAAGACUUACUAUUUAUUUGAAAGAGUUACACAGAGAGAGGAGAGGCAGAGAGAAUGAAUGAGAGAGAGAGAGGUCUUCCAUCUGAUGGCUCACUCCCCAAUUGGCCACAAUGGCUGGAGCUGCACCGAUCCAAAGCCAGGAGCCAGGAGCUUCUUCUGGGUCUCCCACGCUGGUGCAGGGGCCCACGGCUAGGGCCAUCUUCUACUGCUUUCCCAGGACAUAGCAGAGAGCUGGAUGGGAAGUGGAGCAGCCAUGACUAGAACCGGCACCCAUAUGAGAUCCUGGUGCUUCAGGCCAGGGUUUUAACACACUGUGCCACAGUGCCAGCCCCUGAUCACUUAAUUUUUUAACUGAGAUGUGUUCCUGAGAUCUUUUACUAUUAACAUAUGCAUGUAGCUAAUGUCUUAAAAAUUAGAUAUUUUUUUCCUGUAGCUUUCAACUGAUCUUUCUUUUUGCCUUUUCACUUGCUAAACACUGUUUUCUGGUUUCCUUUGGCCUAAUCUGAUAUCCUAUAAUCUUUUUUUGUUGAAGAUUUAUUUUAUUUAUUUGAAGUGUUGCAGAGAGAGGCAGAGGCAGAGGGAGAGGUCCUCCAUCCGCUGGCUCACUCCUCAGAUGACCCCAAUAGUCUGAACUGUGCGGAUCCAAAGGCAGGAGCUAGGAGCUCCUCCCUGGUCUCCCGUGUGGGUGCAGAGGCCCAAGGACCUGGGCCAUCCUCCAAUGCCAUCCUAGGUCACAGCAGAGAGCUGGAUCUGAAGAGGAGCAGCCACUCUAGAACCAGACCCUUAUGGGAUGCCAGCCCUUCAGGCCAGGGCUCCAACCGGCCCCCUCCUAUAAUCUCUGAAUUCUCAGGUCAAUGGAGACACAGGCUGAGAGUUGUGAUUUAGUCAUUUUCCUCCUUGUUUUCAUCCAUGUCUCUGGGCCCUUGCCAUGUAUAAAAUAUUCCAUAGCAAUUCUCAAAAUCUUUAAAACUCUAAGCUUUAUAAAUUAAGUACUAACAUUAAACUUUGAAAAAUAUUUUUAUGAGAGAUCCUGUAUUUGGCCAUAACUUCCACUUUGUACGCUAUGCAAAUGCAGAACUUCCUCUUUUGUGUCUCUAAACAAGAAGGCUGACAUCAAAGGCAGCUGGCCUUUCCUUGCUGAGUCUGGCUCCUAUAAAAAUAGAGUGGUGUAGGGAAAUAUUUGGAGGCACUUACUAACACAACUUACACAGGAGGGCUUUAGCGAUUCAAAUAAUAAACCUAAACUCACAAGGGUAAAGCUAAUUUGAGAAUGAAACAUACAACAAAUGGAUGAAGUAUGAAAAAUAAAAACACACACAAAAAAUGAUCUAAGCACUAAGAUGACAACAGGCAGGCUCAGUUCUUCAAGUUGGAAAACUUUGAGGACUAAGGUUUUACCUGUAAUUCCCAUCUUUAGUUUCCACCGAGUUUUUGCUGUCUAAAUUUAUUAACUUGAUCUAAAUUCAACCCAUUUUAAAGGAUCGCAUUACUUUUUAUGACCUGGGAGCAGUAAAUGUAGAAUUUCCUUAAAUUGUGGAUAGAAAUGGAAUGGUCAUGAGUUUGAACUUGUGGAAUUUAUAAUGUAUUAUUUAGCUAUACAUGGCAUUUUAUUAUAGAGAGAGAGAGAAGAGGCAAUUUUCAACUACAGAAUUUUGAAAAUAUCUAAAAGUAUCAAUAAAAAUAAGAAGAGCUGGGGUGAAUUCAAAUUAAAAUGUAGGAAUCCUAAGCAAUUAUUCCCAUUUGCACCAUGAAGAGCUGACUGUGCACUAAGUCUGGAUUUAAAACAGGUGGACUGAAGGAAGUGCACUUAGAAGUCUGAGAAAUCUGAGGGCAGUCACUGUCCUCCCUAUGUUACUGCUGCCCACUAAGAGAAGAACAAAAAACGAAUGAAAGAAAAAGAUGAAAUGCAUGAAUGCUUGUAGAAAGCAUUGGAAGUACGGAGGACUGUCUAUGUUUCGAAUGUUCAGUGAAAUCUUUUACAUUUGAUUUUACCAGUGAUCAUUUUUAUUUCGUGCUGGUUUUCUGAAGAUUAUUGGUUUUUAGUCCUGGUUGGGGUGCUGGAUUCUGUUCCGGUUGCUCCUCUUCCAGUCCAGCUGCUCUCUGCUGUGGCCCAGGAGUGCAGUGGAAGAAGGCCCAAGUCCUUGGGCCCUUCACCUGCAUGGGAGACCAGGAGAGGAACCUGGUUCCUGGCUUCGGAUCAGUGCGGGGCAUCAGCCGCAGUGGCCAUUGUGGGGUGAACUAAUGGAAAAGGAAGACCUUUCUCUCUGUCUCUCUCUCUCUCACUGUCCACUCUGCCUGUCAAAAAAAAGUUUGCAUUAUUUUGACACAUUGUGUUUUGUCUCAUUGCUUUAGGCAUAGAGUUAUAUUUACUAUUUCAUGCAGUAUUGUUUACUAUAAGGCACUGAAUUAAAAUGAAGAAAAUCACCAAUUUCUGAAAGAAACCAUAAAUCUAAAUGCAGGAGGAGCUAGAAGUUAGAAAAAAAAAAAAAAACAAGUAUGUUGGAUAUUGCUUGAAAUUUCAGAGGUAUCACAUUUAUUUCUUAUAGUAUAUGUAGAAAUACAGCAAGUUUUAUUGUGAAAGCAUCAGUCAGUGGUAUGUGAAAAUAGUAGCAUUUAAAAAUUCUGGUAAAGUAUGAAACAAUCACAGAUGGAAGUGUGCAUUGGUAUUGCUUUGCAGCAAUGCUACCGAUCUUUCUUCAGUUUAGCUUGCGCUGGAUUUCUUUCGACUUUUACUUUCCAGGGUCAGGGGUGAGCCAUUAAUGCCCCAUCACAAAUUAGUUGAUAUCUAAGAAAAUUACCAGUGAUGUCACUCAUUUUUAAUGGAUUUUACUAACUACAAAUGAAACUCUCUUAAGACCAGCUGAAAGGUUAAUCCCUGCAAGAAGGUUUCCAUCUUCAUUAUUUAAAGCCAAAUAAACAAACAAGGGCCAGUGUUAGACUGCAAUGGCCCUUGCAUAGACUGAGUGCUGGAUAUCAGUGUUGGUGUGGAAGCGGUGGCAGUUCAGGCAGUUCAGGUUGACGAGAACAAUCCUGCAGGAACUAGAAUCUCUGAGCGGCCCUUCUCACUUUCCGUGGCAGAAACUGGGUGGUGGGCUCCCUCCUCAGGUGUCCCGAAACAGGCCCUGCUAUGAGUGUCUUAGGGCAAAUCCGACUUUCAUAGGGGCAAGUGUGAUUUUGUCUGGGGCAGACAGAAAAAGUGGAAUGCAAAACUGAUACCCAUGAAUUGUUUCAAUGAAACUUAAAAAUAAAAAAAAAAAUUGGCCUCCUUUAAUGUUCCUUAGCUCCUCUCUCAUGAAUGGGAAAUUAGCCACAUAAGAAAGGAAAAUUCAAUUUUACAUGUUGAAGCUGAUAUUUAGGUCCCUGAAAAGCAAGCCUAGUAAAAGUUUGUGUAAUCUGCAUAAAUAUUGAUAGAUUACAACCUGAGUGGAAAAUCCACUCAGCCAUCACCAGGAUGAAAUCACUGGGGACUUUAGAUGAGGGUUUUGGUGGAAGGUACGUUCUAGUAGAAUCCGACUACCAGGAAACAUCACAACAGUUUCUGGCUCAAUCUGUUUAUGGUACAAUUAUUGAAAUUAAACUUAAUUUGCCGAUUUUAGCCUCUGAGUUAAUAUUGACUAGACAUUUAGGUAGAUUUAAAUUUAAGCUUCCAUAGCCUUGGCAACUUAUGACGACAGCCUAGGGUGGUUACUGGUGCCAUAAACUAGAGUGUCAAUUUGUUGGGUCAACAACAGGAGCCACUGUGCGCUUGCUCCUGAUGUGGGAUCUCUGUCCUUAAUGUACUGUACAUUUUGAUUUAAUGCUAUAACUAGUACUCAAACAGUAUGUUUCACUUUGUGUUUCUAUGUGGGUGCAAACUGUUGAAAUCUUUAUACUAAAUUGAUCUUCUGUAUAUAAAUAGAAUUGAAAAUGAAUCUUGAUGUG